UAGCAUAUUAGUAGGCGGUGGAAGAUAAUCCAAAAGGGAUUCCUUCAGUAAUGGCGAAUGAACGGGGAAAAGCUCAGCAAAGAAAUCGAGGACUCCGGCCUUGAGUUGUGGACUUGAGAGGUAUCGCCAAUGGUGGCACAGGUGGGGGCCUCUUGGAAAAGGGCACCACAGAGGGUGUGAGUCCUGUUUGCCAUCUGUAGUCCGCUGUGUACGGCAUGCCUCCUCCGAGUCACGUUCCUUGGAAUUGGAGCGCGAAGGUGGUGGUGGCUUUCAUCUCAAGCUAAGUAUGGGUUCGAGACCGAUAGCAAACAAGUACCAUGAGGGAAAAUUGAAAAGAGCUUUGGAAAGAGAGUUAAAAGUGCCCGAACUUGCUGAUAGGGAAGCGAAGGGAGCUGACGUUGCUUGGUAACAUCUUCCGCGCAGGACUAGGAUGGGUUCUGAUUGCAAUGUGUGUUGUGUUUCUUGCCAUGCGUGUCAAUGCCAAGUAAUGAGUGGGGAGAGCUCCAGGGAUAAUGAUUGUUUCUGUCCCCGGGUAGACGAAUAUGUCUGGGUGCAUCCAUUUGUGGGCUGAAAAAUUGGUGGUUGGUUGCAGCUCCCUGCCUACGAGGCAAUUGGGGUGUAGCCUGACACGCAGACGAGGA
RNAcentral lists this ribosomal RNA (641 nucleotides) under Prorocentrum lima. RNAcentral describes it as "LSU rRNA". It matches the Rfam family "Eukaryotic large subunit ribosomal RNA", at positions 36 to 605 of the family's 3401-position model. Lineage: Eukaryota; Dinophyceae; Prorocentrales; Prorocentraceae. The record is from RNAcentral.